RNAcentral lists this ribosomal RNA (253 nucleotides) under uncultured bacterium. Its description in RNAcentral is "partial 16S ribosomal RNA". It matches the Rfam family "Bacterial small subunit ribosomal RNA", at positions 524 to 776 of the family's 1533-position model. The record is from RNAcentral.
UACGUAGGGUCCGAGCGUUGUCCGGAAUUAUUGGGCGUAAAGGGCUCGUAGGCGGUUUGUCGCGUCGGGAGUGAAAACUUGGGGCUUAACCCCAUUCGUGCUUCCGAUACGGGCAGACUAGAGGCAGGCAGGGGAGAAUGGAAUUCCUGGUGUAGCGGUGGAAUGCGCAGAUAUCAGGAGGAACACCGGUGGCGAAGGCGGUUCUCUGGGCCUGUUCUGACGCUGAGGAGCGAAAGCAUGGGGAGCGAACAGG